RNAcentral lists this ribosomal RNA (492 nucleotides) under uncultured bacterium. RNAcentral describes it as "partial 16S ribosomal RNA". It matches the Rfam family "Bacterial small subunit ribosomal RNA", at positions 29 to 507 of the family's 1533-position model. The record is from RNAcentral.
AGUGAACGCUGGCGGUAGGCCUAACACAUGCAAGUCGAACGGCAGCACAGUAAGAGCUUGCUCUUACGGGUGGCGAGUGGCGGACGGGUGAGGAAUACAUCGGAAUCUACUUUUUCGUGGGGGAUAACGUAGGGAAACUUACGCUAAUACCGCAUACGACCUACGGGUGAAAGCAGGGGAUCUUCGGACCUUGCGCGAUUGAAUGAGCCGAUGUCGGAUUAGCUAGUUGGCGGGGUAAAGGCCCACCAAGGCGACGAUCCGUAGCUGGUCUGAGAGGAGGAUCAGCCACACUGGAACUGAGACACGGUCCAGACACCUACGGGAGGCAGCAGUGGGGAAUAUUGGACAAUGGGCGCAAGCCUGAUCCAGCCAUACCGCGUGGGUGAAGAAGGCCUUCGGGUUGUAAAGCCCUUUUGUUGGGAAAGAAAAGCAGCAGGUUAAUACCCCGCUGUUCUGACGGUACCAAAAGAAUAAGCACCGGCUAAGUUCGUG